Molecule: long non-coding RNA, 588 nt
Organism: Scophthalmus maximus (turbot)
Lineage: Eukaryota; Metazoa; Chordata; Actinopteri; Pleuronectiformes; Scophthalmidae
Exons: 3
Source: RefSeq, a predicted model, not a curated record
UGUGUGAAGAUUUAAGUAACUUGUUCUGGCAUAAAGACGCCGCAGAAGGACGACGAGCGCUUUCAGAGGUGGAUCAAGAGGAUUGAAACUUUAUGAACUACUUGUUACUUAACAUUUAAGAUCCUGGAUGAUCACCUUCACACUUCGCCCCGUCACUUCGAUCCUGUCUGAACUUCAUCUUCUAACCCCUUGGAGCUGGUUGUGGCCACCACUGGUUUACAGCAUCUGGUGCGUCUGUUUGGAUCAGCAGGGGGAAGUUCAAACUGACUCACCGAGAUCAUCACAGCAGACCUCCAUGGAGUCCGAGGAGCAGUCACUCAGAUCAUCCAGCCAUUGAGGUCAGUGACGAACAUGGACAUAGAGUGGACGUGAAGACCAUCUGGCUCAGCUCAGCUUCAGGUGCACCGAUGGGACGAGCUGCACUGAAACAUCUGUUCUCUGGGGGAGACGCCGCGACAGCAACCCGCCACUCAACAACUGACGAGAUGGCCGCAGUGACGUAAAUUGCACACACACAAAACACACACACACACACACACACACACACACACACACACACACACACACACACACACACACACACACACA